GAUGAACGCUGGCGGCGUGCCUAAUACAUGCAAGUCGAGCGAACAGACGAUGAGCUUGCUCCUCUGACGUUAGCGGCGGACGGGUGAGUAACACGUGGAUAACCUACCUAUAAGACUGGGAUAACUUCGGGAAACCGGAGCUAAUACCGGAUAAUAUAUUGAACCGCAUGGUUCAAUAGUGAAAGACGGUUUUGCUGUCACUUAUAGAUGGAUCCGCGCCGCAUUAGCUAGUUGGUAAGGUAACGGCUUACCAAGGCGACGAUGCGUAGCCGACCUGAGAGGGUGAUCGGCCACACUGGAACUGAGACACGGUCCAGACGCCUACGGGAGGCAGCAGUAGGGAAUCUUCCGCAAUGGGCGAAAGCCUGACGGAGCAACGCCGCGUGAGUGAUGAAGGUCCUCGGAUCGUAAAACUCUGUUAUUAGGGAAGAACAAAUGUGUAAGUAACUAUGCACGUCUUGACGGUACCUAAUCAGAAAGCCACGGCUAACUACGUG
This 497-nucleotide ribosomal RNA is filed under the name uncultured bacterium. Its description in RNAcentral is "partial 16S ribosomal RNA". It matches the Rfam family "Bacterial small subunit ribosomal RNA", at positions 28 to 507 of the family's 1533-position model. The record is from RNAcentral.